GUCUUUUCACUUGUUCUUGAAUCUGUUAAGUCGGGCAACUGGUAUAUUAGCAUUCUCGUUGGUAGACAUGGUUGUGAGACAAAGGGAGGAAAGCUGCAAAGCAGGCCCAGGGUUCUACAGGAAGCGACGCAGGGAUCGGCGGCUGUGGGGCGGCUACGCUCAAAGCGUCCACUUCGACUCAGCUCAAAGAAGUGUUGUCCUCCUGAUCUUAAUUAGGGUCAGAAACGUCACCUCCUUCCCACCACCAGAGGCAAAAUCAGUAAAGGCUUGGAGGAUUUAAAACGUGUUAGUCCAGUAGGAGAGACAUAUAUCCAUGAAGGACUAAAGCUAGCGAAUGAACAAAUUCAGAAAGCAGGAGGCUUGAAAACCUCCAGUAUCAUAAUUGCUCUGACAGAUGGCAAGUUGGACGGUCUGGUGCCAUCAUAUGCAGAGAAAGAGGCAAAGAUAUCCAGGUCACUUGGGGCUAGUGUUUAUUGUGUUGGUGUCCUUGAUUUUGAACAAGCACAGCUUGAAAGAAUUGCUGAUUCCAAGGAGCAAGUUUUCCCUGUCAAAGGUGGAUUUCAGGCUCUUAAAGGAAUA
Molecule: long non-coding RNA, 579 nt
Filed under: Homo sapiens (human)
Lineage: Eukaryota; Metazoa; Chordata; Mammalia; Primates; Hominidae
Description: non-protein coding lnc-GK2-4:1
Source: RNAcentral